Molecule: ribosomal RNA, 770 nt
Filed under: uncultured bacterium
Lineage: Bacteria
Description: bacterial SSU rRNA
Rfam family: Bacterial small subunit ribosomal RNA
Source: RNAcentral
GCACGCUGGCGGCGUGCUAACACAUGCAAGUCGAGCGAUGAAAUCCCUUCGGGGAUGGAUUAGCGGCGGACGGGUGAGUAACACGUGGGCAACCUGCCUCAAAGAGGGGAAUAGCCUCCCGAAAGGGAGAUUAAUACCGCAUAAAAUUAUGGAAUCGCAUGGUUCUAUAAUCAAAGGAGCAAUCCGCUUUGAGAUGGGCCCGCGGCGCAUUAGCUAGUUGGUAAGGUAAAGGCUCACCAAGGCGACGAUGCGUAGCCGACCUGAGAGGGUGAUCGGCCACAUUGGAACUGAGACACGGUCCAGACUCCUACGGGAGGCAGCAGUGGGGAAUAUUGCGCAAUGGGGGAAACCCUGUCGCAGCAACGCCGCGUGAGUGAUGAAGGCCUUAGGGUUGUAAAGCUCUGUUAUCUGGGACGAUAAUGACGGUACCAGAGGAGGAAGCCACGGCUAACUACGUGCCAGCAGCCGCGGUAAUACGUAGGUGGCGAGCGUUGUCCGGAUUUACUGGGCGUAAAGAGUGCGUAGGCGGAUGUUUAAGUGAGAUGUGAAAUACCCGAGCUCAACUUGGGUGCUGCAUUUCAAACUGGGCAUCUAGAGUGCAGGAGAGGAAAGCGGAAUUCCUAGUGUAGCGGUGAAAUGCGUAGAGAUUAGGAAGAACACCAGUGGCGAAGGCGGCUUUCUGGACUGUAACUGACGCUGAGGCACGAAAGCGUGGGGAGCAAACAGGAUUAGAUACCCUGGUAGUCCACGCCGUAAACGAUGGGUACUAG